Non-coding RNA from Oryza sativa Japonica Group (Japanese rice), 3033 nucleotides. Lineage: Eukaryota; Viridiplantae; Streptophyta; Magnoliopsida; Poales; Poaceae. The record is from RefSeq and is a predicted model, not a curated record.
CCGCCGCCGCCGCCGUCUUCCCUCUCCGCCUUCCGCCGCCGUCAUGCCACGCCGCACCUCCACCGCCCCGCGACCCGAGACGGAGGCGGCGGCGGCGGUGUAGAUGGUCGUGGCGUGGUGGCCGUCGCGAGGAUUUCGGGUGCAGAGUACGGUGACUUGGGUGCCGCACUGAAUCUAUGAUUCGAUUUUACCUGUUUUGGUUGGAUGGAGGAGAACCGGAGAAGUGGCGUUUCGAGUCAGCAGGUUGUCUUUGAAACAUUUACUCAGGUGAUGUUGCCAGUUGCCACACUAUUAUAUACCAGUGGAACACCAAAAGGAGUGAUGCUUAUCUGCUGAAAUCUCUUGCAUCUGGUCGAAAGAGCAGUAACAUUCACUUCUUUUACCUGAAAGUAAUAUUGAAAUAUAAACUGUACUUUUCUUGAUGUGAUUUCUUGUCAUGUGAACAUCAGAACCCCUGUUCCUCUUCUAUCCAAAUUAAGUUCUAUGCAGUUAUGUUUGUAGAUGAAAACUUUCUGGGAUAGUAUUAGCAGUACCUGGUGAUAGUUUCCUAAGCAUGCUUCCACCAUGGCAUGUGUAUGAACGUGUUAUCAAGUACUUCAUCUUAGCUUAUGGAAUUCAACAUGUUUACAUGAUUGUCAAGUAUCUGAAGGUAACAUUUCAGGCAUCGUCAUAGUUAGUACCAUCAAGGGUCUUAUGAUGUCAUUAAGGAUUUAUUGCGACCAAUUACAUGACCUAAUGCUGUACUAUUCUUUAGCAGCUUACUGAACGCUGCAAAGUUGAGUUUGAUAUAUUAUAAGCAAAUGUAACAAUCGUCAGGUCCAGACCUUCUAAUCUACUUUAGGGAAACCCAAGUGUCAUACUUGAUAUGAUAGGGUUCCUUCCCUUUACAGUAUUCUCCUUUCUGGUCACUAUUUUCUAUUUCUUAUGAAGAUGCUGAUGUUGUUCAGGUGUUUUGACUUCUACUCUAUUGAUAGGAAGUUUUGCAACGGUACCAACCUCAAUACACUGUAUCAGUACCACUGGUCUAUGAGACUCUCUACAGGGAAUAGUCCUAUUGAGCAAUCCCGUCAAACCAUCAUUUAUUGUGCAUAUGGUCAAUUGGCUAUUGGCAAGAAUUGUUGCUGCACUUCUGUGGUCUUUGCAUAAUCUGGCAAAGAAGUUAGUAUUCAAGAAAAUCCAUUCUGCAAUUGGGAUUCCAAAGGUUCUUGGCACAGUUGGUACCCAGUAAAGCACACGGAAAUCAAGGUAGUGAGCAUAGAGAAUAGUGAGGUUCUCGCAGAUGGUUCAAAGGGGGUUGUGAAAGUCAGAGGACCUCAAGUGAUGAAGGGAUAUUACAAGGAUCAUUUUUUCCAGUUUACUGAUGCCAAGUUUUAACUAUAAAUUAAAUUGAGCUGUAAACAGUUGUUUGGGUCAAGGUGAACACAUUUUUGGGUAGAAAUGCACAUCAGAUUAUAUAUCUUGGUAAAGACAUAAUGCUGCAGGUCACAGAUAACACUUGCUUAUUGUAAACAUCAUAGUUGUAGCAAUGAUGAGGUUCUAGCAAUGGCUAAAAGAAAGCCUAUUCUUGAUGGGAAGCCAAAGGAUAAGUUUUGGAACUUUGUAUGUAAUGAGCUGAGAACUAUUUCUCUCCUGUUUCUUAUGAGCUCUGAUUUCUCUAGCCUAAUAGUCUAGAGAACUUUUGCUGAUUUUAUGAUGGGUCACAACUCACAAUCACAUUGGAGUUAAAUCUAUCACCUGAGACAUGAUUUUUUAAACAUUGAAGGACAGAGUAGGACUGUGUAAUUUGUUGUUGAUAUGUGCGAAUUAAAAACCUUACGAGUUACGAGUCUCGUACUCCCAGUCUCCCAUACCAAUACAGGGUUUUAGGUAUGGUGGCAUGUCGUAGUCGGAGAGGAAGGGUGUGUAGUUUAUAUAUGUUGAUUUAAUUAGAGCCAUGUUGAAUGUUUUGUUAAUAUAUAAAUGCCAGGAUGAUGGGUUGCUCCUUCCAAAUCAGCCCUAUUCUAAUUGUUAACGAAUCAUUUACGGUAAGUUUUCACCUAGUAAUUAUAUAGCUUUUCUUGCUAUCAAGUUUGACAGUACUUUUUUUUUUUUGUAUUCAGGUGGAUAAUGGUUUGCUAACAUCCACUUUGAAAAUAAGGAGGGACAAGGUAACAGCCAAAUAUCAUAGAGAGAUCGAAGCAUUGUACAAGUGGUAUGGAGUGGGCUUGAGUAAAACAUUACAAGUGGUAUGGUGUGGGCAUGAGUAUUUUCGUUUGUUCUUGCCUUAGGGGACAUCUCUGAUCUCUCGAGUAGAAGUACAGCAGCUAGUUCAGCAAUCAGCAUACAAUAAUGCAACCAUUUUUGUAUUAUUGUAUGCCAGUUUCGCUCAGCAAAUGAAACAGUAGAUCACUUGUUUGUGUCUUGUCCACUGGCUAGAUUUGCUUGCAAUGUGAUUGCAAGUGCUUUUGGACUUGAAAAGAUCAAUAGCAUUCAACACUUGUUGGAAGCUUGGUUAAAUGAAUUUGACAAAAAGAAGAAACAACUAGUUGCAGUGGGGAUUGCAGCCACACUGUGGGCAAUAUGGGAAGUUAGAAAUAAAGCAUGUUUUGAGCAUAAGAUGAUCUCACAUCCAAUAGAAUUGAUAUACUAUAUGUGUCACUGGAUUUCAUCCUGGUCAAUUUUGCAGAGGUCGGUGGAAGGCCAAAGAAGUCUACAAUGUGGGUUCGACACUUCGACUUGCUAAAGCAGGUUGCAAAAGAGAUUAUAUAAUUCCAAGUAUGGCUGGAACUUUGAUAGAAGACGGCUGGAGGUGUGAGACAAAUCAGCAAAGGAAGGAAACAGGGAAUCGACUGGAGGAACUGAAGCAGAGGAAGAGACAGGUUUUUGUGGCUGGAAGAACAAAGAAUGGGAAGAUCAUGGGAUCAAGUAGUUUUAGUUGUUCUUUUCGUCUAGUUAAAAACUGUACUAGCUCGUCUCCUUCUUUCUGUUUGGUAAUUGCUGUAUGCUGGUGUGGAGAUCACACAUAAUGGAGGGAUGACACUAUUUGUUGUGUGA